Long non-coding RNA from Phymastichus coffea, 1284 nucleotides. RefSeq lists it as uncharacterized. The record is from RefSeq and is a predicted model, not a curated record. NCBI's taxonomy places the organism in Eukaryota, Metazoa, Arthropoda, Insecta, Hymenoptera, Eulophidae. The transcript has 3 exons.
UUUUUCACCUGUCCCUACAUACAGAGACGCAGUGCAACCAGAACGCAACCACAACUGGAUUACAUACUUUUCCGAGUCAUCUUUCUUUCACUUCGUCCCAUUUUAGCUGAAAACUCUUUUUAUUACUUUGAAAAGCAGCAGCUACUGAUUCAUUAGGACUAUUUCAUUCAGAUGUCAUGUAUGUUUAGUAAUUUAUUUUAAAUUAGCGUAAAUUUUUUUAAAUUCAUCUCGUGCGAAUUUCCUUUCUUUCGUAAUAAAAUUAUGUUGCAGGGUGUCGAUAAUAUUGUACACAACAGUUAUUAUGAUUUUUUUUGUAUACUUGACUUUCUCUUUAUGACGUAAUUAAUUGUUCAAAUGAUCAAUGAUAGUGAUGAUAAUUCUAAAAUUUACAAGGUAGUGACCAUAGUGAUCUAUUUUUAUUUAUACAUGAUACCUAUUAUAUUUCUAGAAAUGAAGCAAUAUGCUAUGAUGACCAAGUACUAAUGUACAUAUUAAAGCAACAAUAAUGAAUCUGAAUCUUAUACAUAGAGAUUAGAUUUCUUUCUAUUUAAUAGGUACAAGUUUCUAUUAUACAGUUAAAUAUAAAAGUUGAUCAACACAGUGUUUUAUGAGAAGGGAUGAGAACUUAUUCUUAAAAUGAAAAUAUCAGGACAUUGCUAAUUUUGGAUAUAGAAAAUGAUAAAAAAAACAACUUUUAUAUUUCAUACAACUAAUGAGCAAUACCAGCAAAGUUGUUGGUGCAUCAAAAAUUAUUGAUGACCGUUUUCCCACGAAAUAAAUACUUGCGUAAAUAAGAGAAUUUUGAACUUGGCAGUCUGGCAUUUCUUAGCCUGUUGAGACUUUCAAAAGAUAUUUUAACGCUGAAAUUUUGGAGAAAGACUAGUCUGCAUGACCUUGAUGAUAAAAAACCGCACAAAACCAUCAUCGCUACAAGAUAAUCGAGAAUCUCACCAGCCUUGGUACAAAUAUAAUUUUACUGAUCGUGAUUAAGAAUUCGAUCCGAGCGUAGCGUAAAUCAUUACGUAAAAUGAUGAAUCAUAAAACAGGCUGGCGACAGAGCUGUACUUUCGUUUGACGGCAAAUACAGUGUUCGCGAUCAUUGGUGACAAAUAUCUGCGCGCACCAUGGCUUUGCGAGAGAGUAAUCAAAUCGACACAGUCGAGCUCUCUAAUUAAAUUAACAUAAGAACGUGAUCGAGGUGGGGAAGGAGAUGAGCAUAUAUCAUUAAGGAAAAGCAAGUUGGCGUACAAAAUAGCGACGUACGUCGCGUGGCUUUCACAAAAC